UACGUAGGGUGCAAGCGUUGUCCGGAAUUAUUGGGCGUAAAGAGCUCGUAGGCGGUCUGUUGCGUCGGCUGUGAAAACCCGGGGCUCAACCCCGGGCCUGCAGCCGAUACGGGCAGACUAGAGUUCGGCAGGGGAGACUGGAAUUCCCAGUGUAGAGGUGAAAUUCGUAGAUAUUGGGAAGAACACCGGUGGCAAAGGCGGCUCUCUGGACCGAGACUGACGCUAGGCGCGAAAGCGUGGGGAGCAAACAGG
This 252-nucleotide ribosomal RNA is filed under the name uncultured bacterium. RNAcentral describes it as "partial 16S ribosomal RNA". It matches the Rfam family "Bacterial small subunit ribosomal RNA", at positions 524 to 776 of the family's 1533-position model. The record is from RNAcentral.